This 549-nucleotide ribosomal RNA is filed under the name uncultured bacterium. Its description in RNAcentral is "bacterial SSU rRNA". It matches the Rfam family "Bacterial small subunit ribosomal RNA", at positions 355 to 896 of the family's 1533-position model. The record is from RNAcentral.
UGGGGAAUAUUGGACAAUGGGCGAAAGCCUGAUCCAGCCAUGCCGCGUGUGUGAAGAAGGCCUUUUGGUUGUAAAGCACUUUAAGUGGGGAGGAAAAGCUUAUGGUUAAUACCCAUAAGCCCUGACGUUACCCACAGAAUAAGCACCGGCUAACUCUGUGCCAGCAGCCGCGGUAAUACAGAGGGUGCAAGCGUUAAUCGGAAUUACUGGGCGUAAAGCGCGCGUAGGUGGUUAUUUAAGUCAGAUGUGAAAGCCCCGGGCUUAACCUGGGAACUGCAUCUGAUACUGGAUAACUAGAGUGGGUGAGAGGGGAGUAGAAUUCCAGGUGUAGCGGUGAAAUGCGUAGAGAUCUGGAGGAAUACUGAUGGCGAAGGCAGCUCCCUGGCAUCAUACUGACACUGAGGUGCGAAAGCGUGGGUAGCAAACAGGAUUAGAUACCCUGGUAGUCCACGCCGUAAACGAUGUCUACCAGUCGUUGGGUCUUUUAAAGACUUAGUGACGCAGUUAACGCAAUAAGUAGACCGCCUGGGGAGUACGGCCGCAAGGUUA